UGGUGAGUAACACGUGGAUAACCUACCUAUAAGACUGGGAUAACUUCGGGAAACCGGAGCUAAUACCGGAUAAUAUAUUGAACCGCAUGGUUCAAUAGUGAAAGACGGUUUUGCUGUCACUUAUAGAUGGAUCCGCGCCGCAUUAGCUAGUUGGUAAGGUAACGGCUUACCAAGGCAACGAUGCGUAGCCGACCUGAGAGGGUGAUCGGCCACACUGGAACUGAGACACGGUCCAG
RNAcentral lists this ribosomal RNA (236 nucleotides) under uncultured Staphylococcus sp. Its description in RNAcentral is "partial 16S ribosomal RNA". It matches the Rfam family "Bacterial small subunit ribosomal RNA", at positions 105 to 334 of the family's 1533-position model. Lineage: Bacteria; Bacillati; Bacillota; Bacilli; Caryophanales; Staphylococcaceae. The record is from RNAcentral.